CUUACUGUUGACGUGAUCCGCCUGAGAUCA
This 30-nucleotide non-coding RNA is filed under the name Cricetulus griseus (Chinese hamster). The record is from RNAcentral. Lineage: Eukaryota; Metazoa; Chordata; Mammalia; Rodentia; Cricetidae.